Molecule: long non-coding RNA, 1320 nt
Filed under: Anas platyrhynchos platyrhynchos (common mallard)
Lineage: Eukaryota; Metazoa; Chordata; Aves; Anseriformes; Anatidae
Description: lncRNA (ENSAPLG00000022024.1)
Source: RNAcentral
UGACGGAGCUCCGGGACCUCUACGUGAGUUUUGGGGUCCCCGACCCUAAAACCCCCAUCCUGACCCCAAAACCGACCCCAUAACCCCCUUUGUGUCCCCCCCCCCACCCCACAGGCCGUGCUCCUCGAUGUCCUGCAGAAGAACAUGGAGAAGCUCCGCAAGCCCCGGGGGGAGCCCAAAGCCAUGAUUUUCUGAAAUUAGCCAAAACCCGCUGUUUUCACCCCCAAAAAAAAGAGCGGGUUCAGGACCCUGACCCCUUCCCCCCUCCCUUUCAAAAAAUUGAAGUUUUUUUUUUUUUACCCGUUUCCCGCUCAAAAUAGAGAUUUUUUUACGGUUUCGUGCCCCGUUCCCGCUCCAAAAAAAUUGAAUUUGUUUUUUUUUUUGACCCAUUUCCACCCCAAAAUAAUGGGAUUUUGGGUUUCAUUGUCCCAUCCCAAAUCCCUGCAAAAUGAAAUUUCUGAAAUUUCCCUUUUUGACCCAAUUCCUCCUCAAAAUACUACAAUUUCCCAAAAACGGGACUUCAGCGUCCCAUUCCCACCUAAAAAAAUGGGAUUUUGGGGUUCAAUGUCCCAUUUCCGCCCUAAAGGAGUGGAAUUUUGGGUUUCAUUGUCCCAUUCCAAAUCCCCCAAAACUGGAAUUUCACUUUUUUGUCCCAAUUCCUCCUCAAAAUACCACAACUUUCCAAAAUCCCUAAAAAUCGGACUUCAAUAUCCCAUUUCCAUCCCCAAAAAAUUGAGAUUUUAGGUUUUGACCCAUUUCCACUUAAAAAAAGAAAAAAAAAAAAAGCGGGAUUUUACAUUUUGAUCCAAUUCCCUCCCAAAAAGUGGGAUUUCCCCUUUUUCACCCAUCCUUCCCCAAAACCCCCCCAAAAUGGGUGACCAAUCACGGUGCAGAGGAGGCGGGGCUUCCUUGCCAUGGGUGACCAAUCACGUCGCUCCGCCGUUUCGGGGUGAUUUGAUGCUUUUUGGAUACUUUGAUUAAAAAAAAUCGAUGAUUUGAUCCAAAUUGAGCCGAAAUUGUUAUUUUGAGUCCUUUCUGCCCAAUUCUUGGCCGCUUGGGGGCGCCCCCGCCCUGCAGCUCCUUUUUGGGGCAAAACCCGGCCCUUUGGGGAUUUUCCACCUGGGUGGUGCCAAGGGUUGUAAUUUGGGGCCGCGAAUCGAAACUUUUGGGGCCGGCGGCUCGCUUGUUUGCACAAAAGCAGCCAGGCGAAACGAGGCGGAAAAGGGCUUUUUGCAUAAAAAGCUAAAACUGGUGGUUUUCGGUGGCGGGGGAGGUGUUUUGGGGAAAAAAAGAGGGCAAACAGGGCAUUUUGCAUCCACC